GAAAUGUAGGUGGAGGCAACACAGCCACUUCUGAGUAGAAGCUUUAAGAGUCAGUGUAGGCUUUGUUACUUUCCCUUUUCUUUUUGUCAUGGUGACCAGCAGUGUUCCCAAUGGUAGCUGUUUUGUCAUCCUGAGUCCCAGAGGGGUGAAGACCAUGAUGCGGAGCAGAAGCCCCACCAGCCUCUGGUGGACCUGCAUCAGGAGCAAGAAACAAACCUUAAUGGCUUUAAGCCUCUCAAGGUUUGAGGUCAUGACCACAGCACAACCUAGCCUAUGCCAGCUGACAGGGGCAGAGGGCAGCAGUAGCAGUGGGAUGCUUUCCUGGAGAGCAAACCUCCUCUCAGCAGAGUUAGGACGGCAGCUUUCACCUCUGCAUUCCUCAGGCUGUAAAUGAUGGGGUUCAGCGAGGGCGUCACAACCCCGUAGAACAAUGCGACAGUCUUAUCCACGUUGGGAUCCUUGGCCUUGGGUUUGAAGUACAUGAAGGAGAUUGUCCCAUAAAAAACCACCACCACUGUGCGGUGGGCUGAGCAGGUGGAGAAGGCUUUGCACCGGCCUGCAGCAGAGGGUACCCUAAGGAUGGCAGACAGGAUGAAAAGGUAAGACAGGCAGAUGAGCAAGAGGGGGGCCAGUGUCAGGACGGCUGUGGCCACCAUUAAUGCCAGCGCAUUGAGGGAGAUGUCCCCACAGGCCAGUUUUAGCACUGCCAAGAUCUCAUAGAAGUAGUUGAUGACGUGGCCACAGAAGGGGAGGUGCCAGACAAGGAUGGACUGUAGCAGUGAGUUGGCAAAGCCUGUCCCCCAGCUCAGCGCUGCCAUCUGCAUGCAGGUCUGCCCACUCAUGAGCUCUGGGUACCUAAGCGGCUGGCAGAUAGCCACAUAACGGUCAUAUGCCAUCACAGCCAGCAGCAGGCACUCCGUUGAUCCCAGCGCCAGGGUCAGGUACAUCUGCAGGGCACAGCCAGGGAAGGAAAUGGUCCUCUGGGUUUCCAGGAAAUUGUCUAGCAUGAGAGGCACAAAGGAGGAGGUGCCGCAGAUGUCCAUGAGGGAGAGGUUGCUGAGAAGUACAUGGGGUUGUGCAGGCGAGGGUGCAGCACGUUCAGCCCUAUGAGGAGGGCGUUCCCCAACACAUUCACGGAGUAGAUGCCCAGGCAGAACACAAACAGGACCACCUCCAGGUUACAGUGCUCGUGUAGCCCCAUCAGGACGUAUUCCGUCACAGCUGUCUGGUUUGCCCACUUCAUCUCAUUCUCUCUCCUUUUCCAUCUGGACCACCCAGCUUUUUGGAAAAAGCUCCAACUGGCCUGGGAGCCCAGUGACCUGAUGUCUGAGCUGCAGCAGGUCAGCCUCCCUCUCUGGAAUUUAGUUUCACCAUCUGUAUAAUGAGGGAGUUGGACUUCAGAUCUGCAAUCUGGCCUUCUCAGCGCUGCAGUUCUGUGGACGUCACUGAGGGGAGGAUGGGGCACAUUCUAGUCCCCUAGGCUCCUCUCUGCUCUCCCCAGGAUGGGGUCAGAGGAGACAGCAGAGAAAGAUUCAUGUUUAAAAUGAUCGUUUGGAAUCCAAAGUGUUUUUGGUCAUUAACAGGAAGCAUCUUUUCUACAUUACGGUUUCAUGUGACCAAAUUAUGGCCAUAGUAUUUCAGAUUUAUUCAUCCACUAAGUAUUUAUUAAGUACCUAUUCUGUGCUAGGUAUCAGGUGCUGGGGCUAUAGCAGUAAGGAAAGUAAGUGGACAAAAGGAUUCCACACCUGUCACAGGCGCUGCCCCACUCCCUGAGUCAGGUGAGAUGAGCUCCGGAAGGCAGGUGGGUAAUGGAUGAUGCUCACCUAGUGUUCCUUGGGCCAUGAAGAUCAAAUAUUUCAGCCCCAUAGGAUGUGUAAGCUUGAUUUCUGGUCAUCUCUCCUUAAGGAAUCAUGGACCAUUCAUUAUUUUGUUUAAAAGGACACAUAAGAACGUACAUGUCUCAAUAGAGUUACUGGUCACAGGACUGAACUGUGGUCAUGAAAGCCAAGCAACUUACUUUCUGGCCUCCAUAUUGCUUUGUAGGAGAAAUGAUACUGACAAUGAUGUCACACGAGGAGGGAAGCCAGGCACGAAUCUGGUGGAGGUGCGGUCAGUUGUGACCAGCUUUGCAAAGGGAGCGGUGGGCGAGGCUGUGGUCUCUCCCAGGUGACCUCCAUCGCCAUGCAGAGCUGCUCUCACUUCUCCUCGGGAAAGGCCAGCGUCAGGUAUUCCUAGGAGGAAGCCCAGGUGUGUCCAGAGAACAGUAGUCUUGUUAGAACUGGAAAAAUGUCUUAUGGCCAGGUGGCCCCUGGUCUGAAGGAAAAAUAGGAGCUGAGUGUGAACUUUUAUCACUCAGAAGAUAUAAUCCACCUCUCCCCUCCUGCCCUUCGCUCCUGGGUUGGUUGUGAGGACAGUGCUUUGUGACAGCAGUGGAGCCCUGUCUGUCCUUCCGGGCUAGAUUUCUUCUUUCUCUUAUUCCUCCUGUUUCGUUGUAUCCACGAUUUGUCGAGUUGCAGGGCUCACCCUUUCCUGAAGAAACCAUCUCUUUUCCCAGCUCCGCACCUUUGUCCGAGAUGGAGGCGUGUCCUCCCGCCCAUCCCCAGUGGGGGGUGUUCUGCCCAUUCUCCAGAGCCCAGCACUGCUCCAUCUCUUUUCCUCCCUCUCCUUCCCCUUGCUGUUACCUGCUGCCUUCUUGUGCUCCCACUGCCCUUGGCCAUCCCUCUGUGUCAUUGUGCGCUGUGGUGCACCUGUCUUCUCUACUACACCUUAAGAGCAGGACUCUGCCUCCUUCCUACCAGCACCUCAUGCAGCAAGUGCUGCCAAUAGCAGGCACCCAGCAGAUAGCGAAUGCACGACUCCAAAACCCAGCUUUGCCUCCUGGCUGUAGUUCAGACUAGCUGUGUGACACUGACCAAGACACUUGACCUCUCUCAGACUCAGCUUCCUCCUUGAAGACUGGGAUGCUAUGUAGCUCAGAGGAAACAUACACCUGAAGGUGCUGCCCCGGGGGGUGCAAUGACCUGUUACUGAGGCUGGAUGGAGGAUGGCAUCCAUCAUCAGCUACAGGUGCCUCCUCUAUCUACAGGUUCCUGCUCCAUCUAUACUAGCCACCUCCUGGACAAGGGCUCCAGUGUCCUCCAUGACACCAGCUUUCUCCAGAGCCUGUGCAGGAUUUCCUUCCUCUACCCUGAAUCAGGGUGAUUCUUAAAGGACAGUUUCAGGAACAUAUAGGGGCACUUGGGUAAUCUUGGUCAGUAACUGACCUUUAACUAUCAUCCAUGUGAACAUCUACAGUUAGGGAUUUUCUUGGUGAUGUUUGGCAAAAAGUAAAGAAUUCCCCAAGUGUGAAGCCUCAUUCAUUCACUUAUUCAACAAAUAGUUAUUGAGCACCUACUAUGUGUUAGGCCCUGGGCCAGGUGCUGGGAAUACAGCAGAGACAGACCUGGCUCCUGCCCUCAUGGAGUUUGCAGUCAUUCAUUCACUCACUCGGUGACUUUGGACACCUCCCCCUCCUCUCUCCAGGCUUUAGAUCUCUGAGAUUCUCUCUGAGUCUGGGAUGUAAAGACAAAGUAAAACCUGAAAUCUGGAAAGCAGAACUAUAAGAGCUUUGUUUCUGAUGGGGGUGUUGCUGCAGACAGAACUAUGUCCAUCUCAAAUUCUGACACUGGACACAGGCGUGGGGGUUUCAAGCAGGCCAAGGGUGGGAAACCACCUGACUGCAUUUUUCUUUAUCACUCACACCUCUAACAGUAAGACCAAGUGGGCCUGGCGGAGGCAUUUGAGGGCUUUUGUGUGUGCAGGCUCUGGCCCGUCCUCCUGCCUUGCCUCCACCGCAUCCCUCAUGCACACCUGCUGCAGCCUCAUCAGACCACUCCCUGUCUUUUGGACAAAGCCUGUGUGCUCCAGUCCCAUCCCUCUUCUUGGGCAGUUUCUUCAGGCUGGAGUGCCUUUCUUUUCUACUCAUCCUUCAAGGCUCAGUUCACACACCACUGUCUCGUGCAGCCUUCUCUCAGAUGGCUUCAUAAAACUGACCACCCGGACAACAAGAUGGUCACACAGCUAUUAGUGGAGGUUAAGUUCAUUCUGCCUUCAUUAUAGUUCAUUUUUCUUGUAUAUCUCUCUCUGACUAGACUAUGAGCUAUUGCAGUGAAAGGGCUGUGUCCUUCAUCACUGUCACCCUCCAGUGACCCGCAGCCAGGAGGUGUCAGUGAUUGCCAUUUGAGUUGAACUAUUUAUUGACAUCCAGUGUUGUUCUGCCAAAAAUCCUGAUCCUAGGCAUGGUGGUUUGCACCUGUGGUCACAGCUACUCAGAAGGCUGAGGUGGGAGGAGUACUUGAGCCCAGGAGUUCGAGGUUACAGUGAACUAUGAUUGUGCCACUGCACUCCAGCCUGGGCAACAGAGUGAGGCCCUUUCUCUAAAAAAGCAAACGAAGAACGCUGAACCCAAGGUCUUGCCUCAAAAUCAAUUCCCCCUUCCCCCUCCAACACAUACACCGCAACAGAAUGAUACAGCUAUUGUGAUUGCUAGGAGAAGGGCUUUGGGCAGUGCCAGUCUCCUGUUUGCAGUAACACCUGCUCUUUCUGAAGAGCUACAUCAGUAACAUGGUGGGUUUUCCUCACAACUUAAAAGUCUGAUCGUAACACAUUCAUGGAAACUAGAACCAGCACACGAAACCAUUGGCUUGUGGCCCUAAAGAAAUAACUCUGUGUCCAGAAAAUGCCAUGUUACCAGGUUGCCUACAGCUUUGCCUGUAACAUGGGCACAGGCUGGGACAUCAGAUAGAAGCUGGUUCCCAUGGUGGCUGGGUUGGGAUGGGCUAAGUUAUGUUGCAGUAACGUACAACCUCAUCAUUUUAGUGGCUAGCAUGACGAAGUUUUAUUUCUCAUGCUACAUGUCUACUGUGGCUUUCCCGGUGGCUCAGGGUUCUCAGAGCCCCUGGCAGAUGGAGGCUCCACCCUGUGGGACGUCACCAGUUGUUAUGGCUGGGGAAGGACACACUGGAGGCUCUUGCUGCUCUGAGCCACAGGAGACAUUUGUCAUAUCUGCACACAGCCCACUGGCCCUGCGGCAUCCUACCACCUGCCCAGAAGGAGGAGAACCAGAAUUACUGCUGAGCAGCUCCUCUGCAUGUGGGUGCAAUGGCGUCUUAUGACUCUCAGAAAGCUACUCUAGUGGCCAUCUACCAGUGUCACGCAGUGUCACGCUCGGUCAUGGCCUGGAAGAUCAGAGUCACAGAGGGAUAGGACCUGGAGUGUCUCUGAAAAUAGCUGCCUGGUUUCACUCCCCGGUUUUACGCCUCUUGAGAAGCAGAGUGAUGCCUAGAAUGAGCCCUGGACUGGGAGGGCACGUCCCAGGUUUGAAUCGGGGCCUUUGUUCCUUUUCUGCUGUAUGACUUUGGUCAGAUUUCUCCUUCUGAGAAGUGGAGCCAAUUAAGCGAUCUCCGAUAUGCUGUAAUCUCUGAAACAUUUCCUCAUAUGUUUCUAGCAACUUCCAACCUGAGGUCUGAUAGACCCAGGGUUACUUUGCAAGCUAACUGACAUAUCAGUCUCAUUGUCUGGUAAAUCUAAUUUUAACCACUUAAUACUUAUUUUAGGCUUCACAAAUUAUUUUAAAAGAAAAGAUAGGGGCAUAACAAGAAGAAAGCUUCGGUUACAAUUUCCCCGAAAUGCCUGGAUCUGGGAUUCCUGCUUCCUGGCUGUGUGGCAGAGAAGAUGAGGAUGGCCCUGGAGUCAGACGGGACUAGGGUCCAAGCCCCAGCUCUUCCACUUGUUAACAAUGUUCUCAGCCUCAGCUUCCUUACCUAUACCAUGGAGACGGCAGUAUUUCCUUGUGGGCUUGUUUUAAGGAUCCAGUGACAGGAAGCAUGCGAAGCUCUUAGAACAGAGCCUGGCACUGGUAAAUAGUCAGUGAGCAGUAGAUGAUAUUAUUACCAUCCUGUCCCUAUCCCUGUCCCCCAGCAAAUAUUUUGGCUUUUAAAUGUUUUAAAUGAUUUCUUGAGAAUAAGCAAUGGGUCAGAUGAAAUCUCCUUACCUCUCACCUACUGGCCAUGGCCUAAAUGUCUGUAGGGAGCUGGAGCCAGGUGAGGGGAGCUGUGGUUUGGGAAGUGCCGAGUUCAUUAUGAGCAAGUGCACGGUGCUGGGAUGGGCUAGGUUCCCCGCACCUCGCCCUGCCACUGCCUCCCAGGACCUGCCUCUUGCUCCCCUGCCACAUAGACAGUCUGCUUGCCCCCUGCUUUCAGGGACCUCAUGGUCCCUGCCCAAUUUAAAGUUCAAACUCUGCAACUGCACAAAGUUGCAGGCUUGGCAGCUGUGGGACCUGGGCUUCAGAGACUCCAGGUUCCUCGGCCUGCCCCAGGAGGGCCCUGCUGAGGUGAAGUGGGCAUAGGAGAGAGAGUGGACAGAGAAUCUGAAUACUGGGUCACGUUGCAGUUCUGCGCCUUGGAUGCCAUAGGCUCCAGGCCCAUAAGCCCGGCUUCACUAGGCCUGGGUGUCUGGGUUGUGAAAUGGGGUGUCUCCUUCCAGGAUUGCCGUAAGGACCUGGAUUCAUCAAAGCUUAAAGUAAAUUGCUUUGUAAGGUGGGAGACACCGAGUACAGGCGAGGGACUUUAUUAGGUCAGGGAUUUAAUCAGGCAUCUGUUUUUACAGAUUUCUUUAUUCCUGUUCCCUCCCCUCCCCUUCCUGUCCUUUCACAAUAAAGAAUAACAACUUGACACAGCUUAGAGACUAAAAAUCAUCCUUCAAUAAAGCAGCAGAAGUUGCAAAGUUUCCUAUGAUGCUAUAA
RNAcentral lists this long non-coding RNA (6781 nucleotides) under Homo sapiens (human). RNAcentral describes it as "non-protein coding lnc-TMEM8B-1:2". Lineage: Eukaryota; Metazoa; Chordata; Mammalia; Primates; Hominidae. The record is from RNAcentral.